GUGAGAGCUUGAGAAAUAGAGAAGAAAAAGUUAGGGAGAAAUUUUUAGUUGCAAGAAGAGUAGAGGUUCUGAAGGAUUUCGGGGGAAACAAAUUCGGAGCAGGAGAUUAAGUCUGGAAUAGAGGUUUGGUUGUUCUCCGCUCUUUGUGUAGAUUUAAGCCUGCUAUUGUGGUUGUCACUUCUGAACUUCCUCUCGGUUUAGGAUUGGGUUCCUCGGCCUCGUUUUGUGUGGCUCUCGCAUUGACCUUGUUGGCUUAUACUGAUUUAGUUUAUAUGGAUUUGAGUCAUCAAGGAUGACUUUUUACGAGAUCUUGAGUUGGUAAAUAAGUGGACCUUUGAACAGGAGAAGAUCAUUCAUAGAAAGCUAGAUUGUUAAAGUUUGAUUGGAGUAAACUAGAUUUUUAGACAAAGAAACUAAUUUUUCUAAAUUUGAUUAUGGUAUGUAUAGAUUGAAGUUAAGAUUGAAGAAAUAAAGAAAUAUGGUAUGCAUAAGUAGUUAUUGAAUAUUGA
Molecule: small RNA, 509 nt
Filed under: Vigna angularis var. angularis
Lineage: Eukaryota; Viridiplantae; Streptophyta; Magnoliopsida; Fabales; Fabaceae
Description: Non-protein coding transcript
Source: RNAcentral